This 252-nucleotide ribosomal RNA is filed under the name uncultured bacterium. RNAcentral describes it as "partial 16S ribosomal RNA". It matches the Rfam family "Bacterial small subunit ribosomal RNA", at positions 81 to 334 of the family's 1533-position model. The record is from RNAcentral.
UACUUUGGUGGCGACCGGCGCACGGGUGCGUAACGCGUAUGCAACCUACCUUUAACAGGGGCAUAACACUGAGAAAUUGGUACUAAUUCCCCAUAACAUUCGAGAAGGCAUCUUCUUGGGUUAAAAACUCCGGUGGUUAAAGAUGGGCAUGCGUUGUAUUAGCUAGUUGGUGAGGUAACGGCUCACCAAGGCAACGAUACAUAGGGGGACUGAGAGGUUAACCCCCUACAUUGGUACUGAGACACGGACCAA